AAUCUCAGUUCGGAUUGUAGGCUGCAACUCGCCUACAUGAAGUUGGAAUCGCUAGUAAUCGCGAAUCAGAAUGUCGCGGUGAAUACGUUCCCGGGUCUUGUACACACCGCCCGUCACACCAUGGGAGUCGGAAAUGCCCGAAGUCAGUGACCCAACCGCAAGGAGGGAGCUGCCGAAGGUGGAGCCGGUAACUGGGGUGAAGUCGUAACAAGGUACC
RNAcentral lists this ribosomal RNA (217 nucleotides) under uncultured bacterium. RNAcentral describes it as "partial 16S ribosomal RNA". It matches the Rfam family "Bacterial small subunit ribosomal RNA", at positions 1284 to 1500 of the family's 1533-position model. The record is from RNAcentral.